UGUCAACCAGAUUUUCAAUGACCAGUGCC
This 29-nucleotide non-coding RNA is filed under the name Rattus norvegicus (Norway rat). The record is from RNAcentral. Lineage: Eukaryota; Metazoa; Chordata; Mammalia; Rodentia; Muridae.